This 524-nucleotide ribosomal RNA is filed under the name uncultured bacterium. RNAcentral's name for it is "bacterial SSU rRNA". It matches the Rfam family "Bacterial small subunit ribosomal RNA", at positions 775 to 1290 of the family's 1533-position model. The record is from RNAcentral.
AGAUAAUAGAUACCCGGGUAGUCCUGGCCUUAAACGAUGGAUGCUUGGUGUCUGGAGUUUUAUAGUCUCCGGGUGCCGUAGCUAAACGCGUUAAGCAUCCCGCCUGGGGAGUACGGUCGCAAGACUGAAACUCAAAGGAAUUGACGGGGACCCGCACAAGCGGUGGAGCAUGUGGUUCAAUUCGACGCAACGCGAAGAACCUUACCUGGGCUAGAAUGCCUCUGACAACCCUAGAGAUAGGGCUUCCUAGGGAAACCUAGGCAGAGUGCAAGGUGCUGCAUGGCUGUCGUCAGCUCGUGCCGUGAGAUGUUGGGUUAAGUCCCGCAACGAGCGCAACCCUUAUCGAUAGUUGCUAGCGGUUCGGCCGAGCACUCUAUUGAGACUGCCGUUGACAAAACGGAGGAAGGUGGGGAUGACGUCAAGUCCUCAUGGCCUUUAUGUCCAGGGCUACACACGUGCUACAAUGGCAAGUACAAAGCGCUGCAAACUCGCGAGAGGGAGCCAAUCGCAAAAAGCUUGUCUCA